Molecule: long non-coding RNA, 187 nt
Organism: Polypterus senegalus (gray bichir)
Lineage: Eukaryota; Metazoa; Chordata; Cladistia; Polypteriformes; Polypteridae
Exons: 3
Source: RefSeq, a predicted model, not a curated record
UAAAAUAAUGCCAGGUAGCUGGAAAGAACCACAGAAGAAGACUGACAGCCUGGACUGCUCAGGUAUGCUCUCUACAUUGCCACUGGAAGAGCAUUUGAUUUCAGUCAGGUCAGUGGUUUAAGUGGAAGAUUUGUUUGAAUAUUGUGAUUUUUUUUAUUCAUAGAAUUUAUUGUAAUUUCCCGAUUUA